UCACCACAACCUAGAAGAAGGGCAGGAGUAAAGUCAAAUUACCUCAGAAGAAAGGCAAAACAUGGCAAAAAUGGCUGCCAAGUUGAUUACGUACUUAGCCUGCACUCUUCUCGUGCUGGCACCAUUUGUAUCCAAAUCUGAUGCUUUUGGAAACGGACCUAGUGUUACUUGCCCGAACGGGAAGAAAUGGUGCUUUGAAAAAACGGGGUUAAUGGACAGAGACGACAAUGCUCUUCGAGCCAAGCGCCGAUUGUGUGAUGCUGCUGAACGUAUGGGCUGUAGAACUGAACGCUGAGUGACGCUAAGGACGAAUAAAAGCUUAUUAAACCACCAGCAGUCUUGGCCAUGAUGAAAAGAUACCGAAAUAAUAAAUUUGAAUGAAGUCACAAAUAACAUUGUUAAGCAUAUAUAGUGCAUGACAUGUAAAUUAAAAUUGAACGUUUAAAAAUUA
Molecule: long non-coding RNA, 451 nt
Organism: Orbicella faveolata
Lineage: Eukaryota; Metazoa; Cnidaria; Anthozoa; Scleractinia; Merulinidae
Source: RefSeq, a predicted model, not a curated record